RNAcentral lists this unclassified non-coding RNA (106 nucleotides) under soil metagenome. RNAcentral's name for it is "partial internal transcribed spacer 1". The record is from RNAcentral.
GUGAACGUCCUCACGGGCUUAUACUAUUCCAAACCUCUGUGAACCGUGCCCUUCGGGGCUAUUUUACAAACAUGGUGUAAUGAACGUCAUAUAUCAUAACAAAACA